This is a long non-coding RNA of Dermacentor andersoni, 2078 nucleotides long. RefSeq lists it as uncharacterized. NCBI's taxonomy places the organism in Eukaryota, Metazoa, Arthropoda, Arachnida, Ixodida, Ixodidae. The record is from RefSeq and is a predicted model, not a curated record.
UGUGCGUCGCCGCGUGUUUUGGCGCUCCGUCGCCGGCAACGGACCAGCAAUGCGCGACGAUUCGAACGGCAGCCAGCAGCGCCCCUGCGGCGUGCGCGGUUCGGCGUGGGCUUCGAACCUGGCGGAGCGCUCCGCUCCGUCGGACGCCUCCGCAAACGUCCAACGCUCAACGCCGUCGUGCCGGUGCGACGCGGAAUGAUGUGAUUCAUGCGACAGCGUGUGCCGAAAGAAACGGGCCUAAGUGACGUGGUGGUGGUGGUGGUGGUUUUGGUGCGCGUCGCGCUGCCUUCAUCGCCACCGUCCUCGAUUUCCUUGUUUGUCCCCGUUACUCCGGCUGUCGGAGAACAGAACUUUCCCGACUGUCGUCCUCGUCUGGAUGACUGUUCCGUAGACUGGCGUCUCGUUCCGGCCUCUGAGCCGGUGGAAGUUUCCUAGCGGACUCGUCCCUCCUUAGCGUGCUACAAUACCCGACGGUCUUUCAGUAAUCACCUCAGGUGCUUUCAAAGGGGGAGGAACAACACGGAACCAAGUCUUUCUCGGGAGCGUUCCUUUCCGGAUUGCUUACAAAACACUCGCUGGAAAGCUCGUUGAUCUCCAGUUAUCGAGUGGACACUGCGCUUCGCCAGUACCUCCGGUCACAUCGUAACACGAGGAAUUGCAAGGACUUCGCCUGAAUCAACGUAUCAGCUCGAAUCAGUGUACAGUUAUCUGAUAGUGCGGUCUGCACAUCAGCCGCUCUCUGUGAUUACCUCCGUCGCUGGAUGCUUUUGUCUGUUCGUAAGUUAGUGAACAGUGACUGAUCUCAAAUCACGCUGUGCUGAUCUACAGGCCUCUCACGUCUCGCGCCGGUUCCCCCCCCCCCCCCCUCCCCCCACACGAGUCAUUGCUUGCGAUGCAACAGUUGAAGGUUGUGAAAAAACAAAAGACAAUUUAACUUUCCUCGCUAAACUGCGGCGGGGACGCCGCGUGAAGGCAGGAUUCGGGACGCUCAGAAAGCGUAUGGCAAUCACCUCUCUUCUCAACGCCUUGCUCGCCUUAACGGUCGUCCUCAAGGCAAAACUCAUCAGCAUCAAGCUCAGGUGACGGCCCCCUGUUUAGUCGCUAAUCUUUUGUCUCUUGCAAACGAGGAUAAUUAGCCCUUUGUGCCUUCUGCACGUUAAGGCGUCUCUCUACAAUAAGCUUCUGCUUUCUUUUUUUUUUUUCCGCAGCCGGAAAAUUUUGUCGACGUCGCCCGCAUCGUCGAGGAGUCGUCAUCGGCACUGCUGCUACUGCGACGUCACGUGACGAAGCCGCAGUGUGGACCUUUAGCAGGCGUGUAUUUUUUUGGUGCGCCUGUGUUUGUGUUGCUUAUUGUGUGUGCUUCGAUCUGUAUCUGCUCCCUCGCCGGGACGUCUGCUGCGGUUUACGUUCGUCGUCGGCCGAGCUUCCAGGAAGCCUGAAGCUUCAUACGCCACCUGUCGAGAAGAAAUAAUCAAUCAAUCAGCGGUCAAUUGACGAAAAGGCAUCGUCGCCGCAUUUGGAAGACGGGUGGUGCUUCGCCUGCGGUUGCGUCCGGUCAUCGCGUCUGUUUCCCUCCGGAUGCGAACCUUCAACCAGGUGUCGCCGGUGAUCCAGUUGGCGUCGCGAAAAUUCGUCGACAAGGAAGGCGGCCACUUACUCUGACGUCGUCUGCUGCGACGGCGCCAUCGAAGCGACGGCGACACCACGUCCAGCAAUGCACCGCGAAGGCAGUUAGCAGGCCGGGAUGCUGGUACGCCUGCGUCUGUGCCACUGGCAAUGUGUGUGUCGCUCUCGGGAUAAGGAUUUUCACCCCGACGUCUGCAAUAACUCGAGUCUCCUGCAGGCCUGGCGCCAGCUAAGCUGGACACUCCUGCUAAGUGCGUCAUCGUUCCCGUCAUCGAGGCACUUGGGACACCGCGGCUACAGAGAGCGAAUGGUCGUGCCCGACACCUAUAGUUGUCGCGGAUGUUGACACUAUACGCGUCUGUUUGUGCUCGCGAUGUGCGUUUUCUUCGGUGCGUACACCUUCGUCGCGGCGACCUCAGCGAGAACCCACGUUUCCUGUCAGCCGAGCCAGG